AGUGAACGCUGGCGGUAGGCCUAACACAUGCAAGUCGAACGGCAGCACAGUAAGAGCUUGCUCUUACGGGUGGCGAGUGGCGGACGGGUGAGGAAUACAUCGGAAUCUACUUUUUCGUGGGGGAUAACGUAGGGAAACUUACGCUAAUACCGCAUACGACCUACGGGUGAAAGCAGGGGAUCUUCGGACCUUGCGCGAUUGAAUGAGCCGAUGUCGGAUUAGCUAGUUGGCGGGGUAAAGGCCCACCAAGGCGACGAUCCGUAGCAGGUCUGAGAGGAUGAUCAGCCACACUGGAACUGAGACACGGUCCAGACUCCUACGGGAGGCAGCAGUGGGGAAUAUUGGACAAUGGGCGCAAGCCUGAUCCAGCCAUACCGCGUGGGUGAAGAAGGCCUUCGGGUUGUAAAGCCCUUUUGUUGGGAAAGAAAAGCAGCAGGUUAAUACCCCGCUGUUCUGACGGUACCCAAAGAAUAAGCACCGGCUAACUUCGU
RNAcentral lists this ribosomal RNA (491 nucleotides) under uncultured bacterium. RNAcentral's name for it is "partial 16S ribosomal RNA". It matches the Rfam family "Bacterial small subunit ribosomal RNA", at positions 29 to 506 of the family's 1533-position model. The record is from RNAcentral.